RNAcentral lists this unclassified non-coding RNA (253 nucleotides) under uncultured Alphaproteobacteria bacterium. RNAcentral describes it as "contains 16S-23S intergenic spacer region". It matches the Rfam family "Bacterial small subunit ribosomal RNA", at positions 524 to 776 of the family's 1533-position model. The record is from RNAcentral. Lineage: Bacteria; Pseudomonadati; Pseudomonadota; Alphaproteobacteria.
UACGAAGGGGGCAAGCGUUGUUCGGAAUUACUGGGCGUAGAGGGCGCGUAGGCGGAUAUUCAAGUCAGAGGUGAAAGCCCUGGGCUCAACCCGGGAACUGCCUUUGAAACUGGAUGUCUUGAGUAUGGGAGAGGGUGGCGGAAUACCCAGUGUAGAGGUGAAAUUCGUAGAUAUUGGGUAGAACACCAGUGGCGAAGGCGGUCACCUCGCCCAUAACUGACGCUGAGGCGCGAAAGCGUGGGGAGCAAACAGG